GGGGAUAUGGCGAAAUUGGUAGACGCUACGGACUUGGAAAAUCCCUCGACUUUUAAAAUCGUGAGGGUUCAAGUCCCUCUAUCCCCC
RNAcentral lists this transfer RNA (87 nucleotides) under Pedicularis axillaris. RNAcentral's name for it is "tRNA-Leu". It matches the Rfam family "tRNA". Rfam says of the family: Transfer RNA (tRNA) molecules are approximately 80 nucleotides in length. Their secondary structure includes four short double-helical elements and three loops (D, anti-codon, and T loops). Lineage: Eukaryota; Viridiplantae; Streptophyta; Magnoliopsida; Lamiales; Orobanchaceae. The record is from RNAcentral.